AAUGGUUUUUUCCAAUAUUGACAUAAUAGAUUUAUUUUAAUUUUGAAAUCAUUUUAAAUUCAGAUUAAUCAGGUUAGAUGAAUCGAUUAAUCAAUUCCAAGUAUUAAUACAUGUCCAGUCAAAAUCAGACUUACAUUAACAUAGAAAAUAACUUUUUCUAAAAUUGGAAAUUCAAGUUUCAAAACGUAAGUCUGGCUGAAACUUGAACAUCUGCGCCCCCCCCCCCCCUCCCCCCAUGACACCCCCCCCCCCUUCCCAUUUUUGUAGUUCCGCGCCUGCGCGGUGCACCUCGAACUGAGAGGAGACGUGCACGAGCCGCGGUACCGCGCCGUUAUCACAACAGAACCGAGCCGCAGUAUGCGGGCUUCUCUCCCCAGCAGUCCGGCGAGCCCGCCCGCAGCCUGACGGAGCAGCAGUUCGGAGCAGGCCGGAGCCUGGCUGUCCGUCCGCAGGCAUACGCAGAGACAAAGCGGGGCGACGGGAUGAGGCUGCCGCCGCUCGCCGACGGUGCUGCGGCGGAAACUGAGCCCAAUUAAACUGAAUCUAAACGGAGCGCGCGCGACCGCCGACAGCCCCCGAAUCUGAGGUGUUGCUUUGCCGCCGGGGGAGGGGGUGGAGGCAUGGUUAUGUCCUCCGCGUCCCUUCUGCACCUGAAAGACUGAACCCAGGGAGUAAAGAGGCCACGAGCGGAGACAGCAGCCUGGAGCCACAGAGGUUAGCUGGAGCGGCUUCGCUAAGUGAAGAAGACCAGACGAUUCCCAGAUGCUGGACGCAUCCCUCUGUGAUCCAAAGAAUUCCAGGAACUGACUGGAAAAGGUCACAGCAUUUCUGCUGCUUUGGCUCUCCAGAGAACCUUGAUCCUUCUCAGGAGGGACAAAAUCUAUUAAAUGACCUCAAGAGCAUCACCCUCUUUGGGAAAAGAAAGGUCCUAAAAGACCCACAUCCAAAGAGCCACAGGCCUCACCCUCAGCCUCUGUUAGGAUUAAAAUCCAUGACUCCAACAUCUGAAGAUGUUAAAGAAUUAAAAAACUAAAAACUCCACAAAGAACGGGAAGGUUUAUUACAGAUUAAAGUACAAUUUUCCAGAAUUAGUCUGCUCAUUUCAGGGCCCACAAGACACAGCCAUUCAGAAAAAGAUUAACAGUCAGAUAUGGUGGCGGUGGUGUGAUGGUUUGGGGCUGUUUUGCUACUUCAAUACUGUGGUAACUAAACCAUGAAUUCUGCCGUCUACCAAAAAUCCUGAAGGUUUGGGAUCUCAGACUGAAGGUUCGUUGGGUUUUGCAGCAGGACGAGGUUCAGAACCACAGCUACAGGUUCUCCUCUGAAGCUACGUUCACACCACCCAACACACAUUCAAUCAUCCACUUCUAAUGAAAAGUCUCGAAACGCGCAUAAACGCGUAGCUACACAAUGUCUACAACUGUGUUCGGACUACGUACAAAACAUGUGGCCAUUGAGCGCACUUUGACAGUUAAACCAGGUCAAAUUUGACCAAUCGGGGACUCAGAUUUGGUAGUGACGUAUGGAUGGCAUCCUUUUUUAUUAACAGAAGGCUUGAAAAUUGGUCAGGAAGGAGAAAUUCAUAAUUGCAAUUUGUUUCCAUCAGCAUUUCGAUGACACCAAGUCUUUCCUUGCCUGGGGCAAGAUUCAUGAGAUUUGCACCUCUUUGCCAUUUCGCACCCAUGACUGUAGAAGCAACGGACGAAUUGAGGUGUGACCUCACCCAUAGGAGCUGCCUCACUUCCGGCUCUUGCCAACGAGACAGAAUCCUCACCAUUGCUUCCUGAUACGGACGCCGCCAUGUUGGAACCAGUCAACAGUGAUUGGUCGGAGUCGCUCUGAGUCAUUGCAUCUAUGGCAAUUGUGACAGUAGUUGCCAUAGAUACGAUGACUCAGAGCCACUCGGACCAAUCACUGUCGUCUGGUUUCGACAUGGCGGCGCUCAUAUCAGGAAGUAGUGGAGCUUCCUAUUUGGGAACACGAGAAAGGAGGGGCUGAGCUGUCCAUUGUUGUCACAGUCAACGUUCACACCAAGCCUCUGCCAACAGUAGGUAGUGGACAUUUGCUAGAAAACAGUAGAAGAAGAAGGAGCCCCUUCCUGCUUGUCCAGUGUGAACACCAUGCACGUCACAUGCUCGGUGUGAUCAUAGCGUGAGAGCUGAGAGGAAGAGUCCUCAAUCCAGGUUCCUGCCACAUGAAUUUAACAAACUUCUAUCCAUCCUGCAUUCAGCAGUGGCUCAGGUGGGGGUUGAGCAACUGUCGUGUCCUUGGGCAAGACACUUCACCAUCCGUGCCUGCAGUGUGGCUCCACACUGUGUGAAUGCAUAUGAAUGUCCCUGUGAGGGUCAGAGGGGCAGUAGGCGUCCACGCCUUUGUCCGUCUGCCCCAGGGCAGCUGUGGUUACAUCAACAGCUUAGCA
This 2419-nucleotide long non-coding RNA is filed under the name Oryzias sinensis (Chinese medaka). RNAcentral describes it as "lncRNA (ENSOSIG00000022430.1)". The record is from RNAcentral. Lineage: Eukaryota; Metazoa; Chordata; Actinopteri; Beloniformes; Adrianichthyidae.